GGGAUUUGACAUGCUUAUAUAUACUGGUAAUUUGAGGGGAUUUGAAAUAUGUACAAGUAGGAUGUUCUCAGUAAAAAAACAUUACAAGUUUUCAAGUGUCACCAGUGUGGGGGGAAAUGUGGCAAGAUCAUUUAUUUUAGCCCGGCAAGAUAUUUUGAAUGAUGUAAAAACUGUCACAAAGUCACGGCUGAAGAAAAAGGUAAAAUAUACUAGAAAACUAGAUGAAUCCCCGCACGUUGCUGCGGGAUAUGUUGUGCUAAAAUUUCUAAUGCAGAGAGAUACGUUGUGUAAAGAAAAAUAGUGAUUUGCAUGUGCGUCAAAGCAUUUCUCUUUUUGUGGGGAAAGCAUAUCUUUCAAAUGAGUGUUAAUGCAAAGGAUUGGAAUGAUGAGUUAAUACAAAAAAAUUCAAAACAACGAAGUCUUUAAGUGACAACAUGAAAAGAGUACAUCAGAUUCAGCAUAUAGCUAAAAGUAAUAAAUUCAGAUGUUGGAUCCAUGUAUGUGCGAUUAUCAUGUUACCUGAGCUAAACAACUAUUCUUAUUCUUGGAGUAACAAAAAUGCAAGUAAUCCAUAACUAUCUUCCAAAACAAAAUAACUAUAGGAGACAAUUUUUUUUGCCACAUACACAAAAACUUGUACAGAAAUGUCACCUAGAUUAACUUAACUUAAAAUCUAGUACCAAUGCAUCAAAGUUGACAAUCACUAACCAGCAACUCUCAAAAACAAACAAAAUGACAUUUUGAGACGUGAACUAAUGGAGAAUAGUAUAGCAAUAGAAUAGGGAAACUCUUACCAUCACCCGGCGGAUCGCGGCGUCCGCGUCCGCCGCCUCCCCUGCCUCACACGUGUCCCAGUGAGAUUCCACACACUAUCCUCUGUCGAACGCGCUUCUGCAACAGAAGCUAUGUUUCCGAAACAUAUAUAGCGUUGCAAUGGUCUAUGACAAGUCUACGUUUUGUAAUAAAAUAUCUCUUAUGAAUUUUUUUCUGCAACAAGACCUCGGUUGAAAAAAAAAUUGUAACAAACAAUCAGUUGCAAAAAAAUGCAACAAAACAAUUGUUGCAGAAAAAUUCUGCAACAAGACCUAUGUUGCAGAAAAAUCCUGCAACAAGACCUAUGUUGCAGAAAUAAUCCUGCAACAAGACCUGUGUUGCAGAAGUAAUCCUGCAACAAGGCCUGGGUUGCAAUAAUGAAGGCACAGAUCACAGAUCUGAUGGCUCGCGACCCGGCUGAUCUUUUCAAAAGAUCAGCCGGCGGACGCCUAGCACGCCCCAAUAGAAUAGGUGAAAAGUCGGAAGAAAGAAAAUUUAUUCCAUCAAGAACUAUGAAUGUGUGUAAUGUAACUUUAAAUAUACUAUGAUCAAGACCUUUGACUUGAAAAAGACAAUGACCAUUAAGUCAGCAUCAGAAAUACUACAUGGAGGUGCUAGGUAAGGAGUUAAUGUCGAGAUUCAUAUCGAGAAUGGCAUUAUAAAGCCCAUCGUUUGUCUCCUCAGAUGCCCAUUAAUUUAUGAGUUUGUAAUGGCUAUUUCAAGCUGCAACACUCACCUCACAUGUUACAUGAGAAGAAGAGAGGAACCGGCCAGUUUGGCCUGGCUGUCCAGGAGGGACUGAGCACAUAAUUACUCGACAUGGUCAAGUAUAUUGCAACAACAUGUCAAGAGGACCACAACACCUCCAAGUCCAGAAACAACAUCGAUGUCCCCACUCAUAAGCAUAACACCGAUAGAAAGGAGCAGCCUAGACGGCUUCCUCCGUAGCUGCAGACCCAGUUCGCCAAAAAACGCUAUCAUUGCCAUGCUAGAAACUCGACCAUGUUGUUGUUAGAAAUUUAGGGUUUGCGGUCUACCCCCUAAUUCCUCUGCGCUUAUCCAUGGUGCCGCUCACAAUUCGCAUAUCUGAGACUAGGGGGUAGGGACCUUCUUAUACUGUCUUUACAAAGAGUCCACCUCUUAUACAGAUAUAAGAUUCCUAGUCUUUUCCACUAGUUUCCGGGAUAGAGUCCAGAUCAAAUAACCAACCACGAUCAUAUUUGUCUGUUAACAGAUUCUACCCGUUAUGUCCCCGGAGCACGCGCCUGUGAGCAAUGCGCCAUAAUAGAGUGUAAAUUCCUCUAAUUAUGUAGAUCAACAUUAGGGUUGUAACCUAACUAUAUGAUCUAGCUCCUUCCAAUCAUCAGUGUACCCGGAUAGUCUUUCCAAUAUAAAUAGUAUAUUGUAUUCCACUGAUAAUCGACCAGCUUCCUUAAGCAUAUAUUACUUAAGUACAUUCCAACAAGUGAUAAUUCCAUGAUAAUCGUCUAAAGCAAUUUCAUGUAUAAAUACAUGUAUAAUUCCAUAAUGAGGUAUUCCGAACGUUAGUAAUUUUCUAGUAAUUUGAAUAUAGUUGCAGGACACAUAAUUCCAACAUCUCCCACUUGUCCAAAAUGAUCAUUCAAUAUUCUUAAACCCAUAGCCUUAACAUGCUUACCAAAUACCUCAUGACUAAUAGGCUUAGUCAAGGGAUCAGCAACCAGGUUAACAAUACGUUGAAAAUCCAAAGAAAUAUAUAGUGAUACCUUCCCUCAGUAUGUUUCCUUGCUGUGACACUUAAGAUCACUAGAGACCUUUAGUUUCCACCUAAUUAUUCCAACAUAGCUGUCCUCGGCGCCUCAAGUAUUCCUCCCUCGAGUGUAAUGCCACCUUUAUAGGCACCUUGAGUAUUUUGUUCCUCAAGUGAAAAUUCUGCAUCAAUUGUUUUCCAUCACAUAUAUUAAUAAUAUGAUUAAUUCCACAUUGAGUCAAAUAGAUGAUAACCAUGUUGAAUACAAUUUCCAAAACCACAUAAUAUCAAAUCCAAUCAGUACAUGAAGUUCCAUAAGCAACCAUGUUUGGAAAGAAAUUCCUGACCUCGGUCAGUGAAUCCACACCAUAUUAGUACUUCACAAAAAAAGGAUAUGCGUACCUGGACUUAUUUAUCAUCUCAUAGAUACAGUAAUAGCUUCCUCAAUGUGUUUACCUUUAAUAUAAAUUUCAAAACAAGUGACAGGUUGUGAUGCACUUUCCACAAUCUUAUAUAAUGUGUGAGAUUCCCUUAGCUGUUCAUCUUUCCUUCCAUUGCUUGAAUGCAACAUAAAUUCCGAAAGCUAAGUUAAUUAUGAUAAUAUAAUGAAGAUACAUACGAAUUCCAGUACCAUUUAUUAUUCCAUUUUUCCUCAGGAGUUCAAAUGUAAUUCCUCACUGAGUAUGAUUCCCUUUAUCAAAGGUAUUUUAACAGAUUUGCAAUUUUCCAUAGAGAAACAUUUCAUAAUAUUUUGUAUGUAUUUCUACUCGUAAAACAUAGGAUGUUUCAAAUGUUCCUUUCAUAUGAAAGUUAAAAGAUGACCAAGCUUUCACUUCCAUCAAUGUGAAUUUAUCAUUGCAAACAACAAAAAACAAUGUUAAUGUAUACAAUAAUAAUGCAAAAUACUUUGCACUUACAUUUGUAGAUGACCGCCUUGCUUCAUUUAGAAAACCAUAUGACCUGCUAUUCCGUUGAUGUGAAGCUUGUUAUAAGACCAUACAUUAAUAUACUCAAUUAGCAAACCAUGUAUUUAGUUCCUCUUUCCCAAAAUUCCAGGAGAGAGAGUUCCCACAAAGUAUAUUUUCCUCUGUGUGAAUAAUUUAAUAACAAGAGUGACAUUAAAUAUUCCAGUGAGCCAAAUAUCCUUACAAAAAAAUCACUUCCAGACAAUAGGCUUGCGGUUAUUUGGUAUGAUAUUAAGUUCCCAAACUAUGCUCUUCCUCAUUUGAGGUUAUUCCUUCCCGCAAUUCUUCCACCCAUAGUUGACAUUGAAAAAAAAACCUUAAGAUCAAUUUAGUGAUUCCUCUAAAAUUUAGAGUGACAUCCCCCAACAAUGCAUAAUAAUUAUCCAGACAUGAUCUUCCAAGCUAAUUCCUCCCAUUUAUUCUAAGCAAGUCAUGUUGGGAGUGUCACUUGUAGUUUCCUUGGGGUAAGAUUAUAUUCCAGUAUGAUUGUCAAUAAUUCCACCAUUGAUCAUAAAAAUUAUUGUGUUCCUACUUUCCACCAGUAUUCCUUUUCCAGAUAACUAAGGAAACACCCUUUGAUCCACUAGAAUAACCAUGAACAUUUCCUGGUGUGCGCUUUGUAAUAACUGGAAAUUUAAUGCCAAAAUAGAAGAUUUCCUUCCAGUCAAGUGACUGUACUAGAUGGAUAAUGAUAUCAACAAAUGACAGUACACAAUGCUUCUUUCCAGGGGAGUAUACAAGACAUUCAAUUCCUCCAUUCAAUUGUGGAGUGUACGGUAUAUUUCAAUGGUGAAUAGUUCCAUGCUCUUUACAUACAAACGAUAUAUUCCUGAAGUGUACUCCCCCCACCAAUCGGUUGUUAAAAUUAUGAUAUUAUUUAAUCAACUAAUUUUCCACAUCAGUAUAACAUGUGACCAGCACAAUAAAACCUUCUGACUUAUAUUUUGAAAAAGUAUAUACAUAACCAUAUCAAGUACAAUCAUUAAUGAAUGCGAUAAAAUAAAUAAUCAGACCUCUAGUGGGGAUGUCCAAAUAAAUACCAUAAGUAUAUCAAAUAGAAACGAUGUGAAGCCUUUUAUCUCCUUCCACCUUAAUAAAAAAAGUAUAUUAAAAAAAUGUGCUUCACAUGUACCAUAGUCCUCCCACUAAAUUUUAAAAUUCCAGAAUCAAUAAGCCUCUUGAUACAGUUCCAAGAUAUGUGACCAAGUCGUUGAUGAUGUAGAUAAUAGAUUCCAAGCAUGUGUUCCCAUUGUCGAUAUUCCUCCAUAUGGAGUUAUCUUCCCCAAAUAACAAUUUGGGUUGGUGACUUCCAAUGGACCAUCAAGAAAGAAUAAACCAUUGUGUGAAAUUCCGUAAUGCACUAAUUUUAUUAUUGAGCAAUAUUUCCACUCUUCCUUUUCCAAAUAGUAUAAGAUAGUCAAUAAAUUCCAAGAUAGAACAAUAAACCAAAUCCCUUCUCACUGAAGUUGCACAUAGUGUCCUAUAACAAUAAUAGUUUUCCUCCACAAGGGAGUUUCAUGGCAUAAUUUCCAAUCCAAAGUACAUCAAUUUUCCUUUGAAAUUGUUGCAUGACAAUAAAGUUGCCCGUUAAGUGCGAGCAAAUUUCCUUUUCCAUGGAGUGGUUCCCAUCUUCCUCCAUAAAUAAGUGAUGUUUCAUAAUAGGCACUUCCUCUUAGCCAAUUCUAUUAGCAAAAAAUAUAUCUUCCUCUUCAAGGUGUAGUCAACCAUAAUUGGUCAUAUCAUUCCCUCAAAGAUUUUCAUGUCUUCCUCCAUAGAACAAAUAAUAUCCCAUAUUGGAUAGAUUGAAUAACCACUCACGAUGACAAGUGUAUAUAAAAUUAUUCCAACCAUUUUGGCAUAUAGUUUAUGACAACUAUGACUUGCACUAAGAAACCAACUAUCUAUAAUUUCUGAGAGAUAUUCCGCCCAAAAAGAAGGUGUUUCCGAUUGCACAUUAUUUUCCAUGCAAUGUAAUCACUCUCAUAUUGAAUAGUAAAAAAAGAACCAAUUGAAUAACCCCAAAUAAUUAUGCAAGUCAUAGGUUAUCCAUAUUCCAGGUGUCACAUUAUAUAUUUCCUUUUCCAUAACAAUGACAUUUUAAUUUUGCCUUUCCGGUUUGUUCUGUUAAAUAAUGUGAACAACAUUCACCGUAGAAUAUAUAACCAUUAUUAUCUAUUUCCAAACCGUGAUAAUAGAGUCACGUAAUCAUAAUUUCCAUGCUCUAAGUAACAAAGAGAAAAAUACCGUUGGGUGUCAUUAUUGAGAAAAAAAGUGUUACCGAUCUAAUCCGUAGACUUCAGAAAUCAACUGAAUAAAUGACGUGAGCACGUCUCUGUAAUCCUUCCUCGGUCCACUUGAAUUGCUUAUUGAUGGGCAAAAGUAGUACUUAAUCUGCAAGUAGUACUAUUCCUCGAUCGCUCAAAAGUCAGAACCUCUAGCAAUCUGUGUUUCCUUGCGUUCUCAGUUUGGUGAAGUAUCAACUUGCAUGGCUUCUCGUCUGUUGAACCCGAACGAGAGAAUAAACGUAGACUGUCUUCCGUAUUCGCGAGUUAUCACUUGCGGCCCUCCAUUGUGAGUUUGCUAGUACAAUCAGAAGCAAGCAAAAAAUUGUUCCUCAAUCCACGUGAGCAGAAGUUGGGCAUGUCCAUUGCUUUCCAGGAUCCCUCCAUCUAUGUGCAAUAGGAAAUUAUCUCACAGGGAGUGACAUAUUUAAUCUUGUAUAGUUGUCCCUGCACGACUGUUACAUGAUGCUGAGUAAAUCUUUGACCUCCAUACCCGAUUAAAUUAAUAACAAAAUCCAUUAACGAUUUCCGGCAGGGAAUCUUGCCGUGCUUCUGAUCGCACACGCAGACGUAUCGAUCUGCUCCUACUUGGUAGUAGCAUAGUACUCCUAUCUCUCCGAUCGAAUGCAAAUGUACGCAAUACAAGAACGUGGGACUCGGCAGCGGCGCAUGAGUAUUACAGACGAUGAAAAAACAGACUGCGCCACGGGAGUACGACACGGCAGCGGGUUGGCAGGAUCAAGCUAAGCACCAGGAAAGCGGCGGCGACGGGUCGAUCUGAAAGAGGCUACUACGCUGCAGAUGAGCGACAUACCAAGUCGGCAGAGUUACGCAGCGGAUCAGCAAUUGUUCCGGUUAUAGCCGGAUCACCCGUCGGACGAACCUUGCUCUUGAUGCCAAUGUUAGAAAUUUAGGGUUUGCGGUCUACCUCCUAAUUUCUCUGUGUUUAUCCGUGGUGCCGGUCACAAUUCGCAUAUCUGAGGCAAGGGGAUAGGGACCUUCUUAUACUGUCUUUACAAAGAGUCCACCUCUUAUACAGAUAUAAGAUUCCUAGUCUUUUUCACUAGUUUCCGGGAUAGAGUCCAGAUCAAAUAACCAAUCACGAUCAUAUUUGUCUGUUAACGGAUUCUACCCGUUAUGUCCCCGGAGCACGCGUUUGUGAGCAACCGCCAUAAUAGAGUGUAAAUUCCUCUAAUUACGUAGAUCAACAUUAGGGCUGUAACCUAACUAUAUGAUCUAGCUCCUUCCAAUCAUCAGUGUACCCGGAUAGUCUUUUCAAUAUAAAUAGUAUAUUGUAUUCCAAUGAUAAUCGACCAGCUUCCUUAAGCAUAUAUUACUUAAAUACAUUUCAACAAGUGAUAAUUCCAUGAUAAUCAUCUAAAGCAAUUUCAUGUAUAAAUACAUGUAUAAUUCCAUAAUGAGGUAUUCCGAACAUUAGUAAUUUUCUAGUAAUUUGAAUAUAAUUGCAGGACACAUAAUUCCAACAGUUGUAUCUUCCUCAUUUAGUCCUCAAAGCUGAACUGCAGCUCCGGCACCUCUAUUAAGAGACUAUAGUGUUCAUAAUUUUUGUCCUGCAAAAAAAAAAUCAUAAUUUCUAGAACGCUAUUCAGUUUUGCUGAUCUGCCAUCGACCAAACAAAAGAAACUAAACCUACAUGGAACACUUACACAUACGUUAGUAUAGAGGAACUAUUGUGGGAUUUGAAUUAAAAAGGAAGCGAGCCAUCAUGAUAUGUAGUUUUCUAGUAUAUUCUAAUGUGGGAGUAUGUAUAUCAACUCAGAAACAUAAAAUUUGCAUGUACCUUCAGACUGUAGCAUGUGUGCGAAUUAACCUUCAGUAAGAAAAUAAGAAGUGGAAAAACGUUUCAGAGUUGGACAGCACCAAGUAACACAUCACUUUGAAAUUGGUUGAGUUAUUUUAUUUACCACCUAGGACGUAAUGCUUAUAAUCAGUCCACCUAAAGCAUGAAACAUGACAGUGACCAGAAGCACGAAAGAAGGCAGUCUUCAGUACGCUGUUUAGAAAGCAGCAAGAUAAUUAUGAUGGCUUGUGUAUACAUCAAUAUAUUUAACUCAGUCCACCUGAAGCAUGAAAAAAAACAGUGAACUGAAGCACGAAAGAAGAUAGUCUUCCUUGUGUAUACAUCAAGAUAUUUAACAAAAAAUAGAUUGAGAGAGUCUACUUACAGAUAGUGGCACAUAGAGCUAUUCAACGGGAACAAAUUACUUGGUAAUGUAAUACUUGACCAAUGAAUACGUGCCCAUGCAUAAAUUCCAUUGGACAUACUUGAAUAAGACAAAUGCCCAACACAGCCGAGAUGAUACCCCUGCCAGUAUGCAAGGAACAUGUCGUAAAGCUGCUGCAAGUAGUGCAGAUGUUGUAUAUCAUGAUGCGCGACAAAUAUAGAAAAACAGGGGGCGGAAACCCUAGAUCAACACCUGAUUAGAACAAAUCGGGCCUAGUACAAAUAGAGAAAAAUAGGGGAAACCUAGAUCAGCACUGGAUUAGAACGAAUCGGUCCGAGCCGAGGCAUGUCCGGAGAGAGGAGGCAACGGAGUCGACUUACGUGUCUUCCUCCUUUAGUCCUUGGAGCUGAACAGCGGCUCUGGCUUGCUCUCGACGAUGUUGAUGAGAUUAUUGAUGCACCAGCUAGCCUCUAGAUCGAUCUUCUUGAGAUCCGGUCGCUGCUCCACCGUCGCCAUCGUACCCGCCGGUUUUGCCCCGGGACGGCCGCCGCAAACCCUAGAGGAGGGACGACCACCGCAAACCCUAUAGCAGGCUGGCUUCUCUUGCGUUCGUCGCUUUGCCGGGUUUUUUUUGAGGGCAAGCAAAGAGCUUUAUUAUGAAACGUGUUGGGCAAGAUCGCCCAUUACAAACUCAGCAACAUUUGCUGGGAGUACAUGAUCAGCAACUAGAAUAUCACCCACUUGAUGGGAGAGGCCUAAUCAGGCCAUAUGAUGCGCUGGCAUAUUAGCCUCGCGCUUACAAUGGGCAAACACACAAGUGGAGAACCAAAGCCUGGACUGCACCUUAAUGUCUUCAAUCGCCUGCGCUUGACGCGAACAAUCAGGGGCGCGUCUGUUUAGAGCCUGUUCCAGCAUUAGAGCGUCCAUCUCCACAGUCAACCGCACGACCCCCAGUUCAGCCGCAAGAUCCAAAGCUUGCUCCACUGCACGUAACUCGGUGCUGAACGCAUCAGCGACAUGAUCAAUCCGUCCCGCCCGCGCAGCCACAACCUCGCCUGUGCUAUCCCGAACAACCACUCCCCAGGCUCCCUGCCCCCUUCCUCGACAAACGCACCAUCGACAUUGAAUUUUAGUAUGUCCUGUGGGGGCGGGAUCCAACGUGGGGUGCAUGCCGGCGACGGGUCCAUUUUGCGAAAGCACACCUGGAAUUCUUCGGCCGUGCAUGCAGCUCUAAUAGCGAACUGAGCGUGCUCCAUUGGUUUCUCUCCCUCCCUAACCUUGUUGCGUUGAGUCCACCACUGCCACCACAUGACAAUGAUAAUCAUCUGGUCCUUUUCGACGAGCUGCCACAAAUAUUCCAAGGUUGUGUGAAUGCUAUCGCACUCUGACAGCCGCUGUCUAGCAUACUCAAGGCCAAUUCCCCGCCACACCUGCUUAAUUUCGUGGCAUUCCACAAACAGGUGUUUAGCCGACUCAUUUCUCGAAUUGCAUAGGAAACACUUGUGAUCCUCAAUUGCCGUUCCCCUUCGACAAAGAAUAUCUUUAGUGGCUAGUGUGUUAUGCGCAAGGCGCCACAUAAAAUGCCUAACCUUGCCUGGGCAUGGCAGUUUCCAUAUCCUCUUCCACCUUGCCUCUCCUCCACCCUCUAGAUCACCGGCCACCUGAGGAAUCCCAUCCCCUUGUGCAGCCCCGGUCUCGGCCAAUGCCCUCUUCAGCUUGUACGCCUGCUUGACAGAGAAUACGCCCUUGGGGUCAAAGUGCCAGGCCAAGAAGUCGACUGCUCCAUCUCGUAGAGGAAUUUGAAGAAUCAACUCCGCAUCCUCCUCCCAAAAGGUAUCUCGGACCAGUUCCAUGUCCCAUUUGCCGCUCGAUGGAUCUAUGAGCUCAGCGACCCUCGUCAAUAGGUUUCCUCCACGAGGGGUGAUCACACGCCUAGACCAAGCUCUGGGUAUCCAUGGAUCGUCCCAAAUGCGAAUGUUUUUCCUGUCUCCCACACGCCAUAUCAUCCCUUGCUUGACUAGGUCAAUUCCGUAGGUGAUGCUGCGCCACGCAUAGGACAUGUUUGUGACCUGGCCCGCAUCCAGAAUGGAGCUCUCCGGGUAGUACUUGGCCUUCAAGAGCUGUCCGCACAGGCUGUCUGGGUUUUCAAUCAGACGCCACACUUGCCUUGCAAGCAUAGCAAUGUUAAAGUCAUGAAUAUCCCGGAAACCAAGUCCCCCUGCCCUUCGACCUUGUAAGUUUUUGCCACCCAAUCCAAUGGAUCUUAUUAUCAUUAUCUUGCUGGCUCCACCAGUACCGCGCAAUCAUAGAACUCAGCUCUUCGCAAAAGGACUUGGUGAGGUAGAAGACUAACAUUGCAAAGGUUGGAACCGCCUGCGCAACACCCUUAACCAGAAUUUCCUUGCCUUGCCGGGAUAGAGUCCUCUCAUUCCAGCCCUGCAUAUAGUUCCAUAUCCGGUCUUUUAGAUAAGCAAAGGCCUUUCGUUUUGACCGGCCGAUAUACACUGGGAGUCCCAGGUAUUUCUCAUUAUACACCUCACUAACAAUGCCCAAGGCUCCUUUCACAUCUCCUUUGGUCUGUUUGGAGCAGUUUUUACUGAACAUUACUGCAGAUUUUUCAUGAUUAACACACUGCCCCGAGCACCUCUCAUAGACCUGAAGUAUACGUUGCGGUUCCGCAGCUUCAGCAGCCCGCGCUUGCAUCAGGAGUACCGAAUCAUCAGCAAAAAACAGGUGCGAAAUGGAUGGCGCACCCGGACAGAUUUGUAUGCCUCCAAACGAACCACACUGUUGGGACUCAUUUAGAAGAGUCGACAAUCCUUCAGCACAAAUGACAAACAGGUAGGGAGAACUUGGAUCGCCUUGCCGGAGCCCUCUAGAUGGCACAAAUUGUUGGGAGAGAUCCCCAUUGAUUUUGAUCCUGUAUCUCAUCGAAACUACGCACUUCAUCACAAGCUUGACCCAGCUGCUUGCAAACCCCAAUUUAUACAUCAUCGCUUCAAGGAAAGCCCACUCUACACGGUCAUAUGCUUUGCUCACGUCCACUUUAACCGCAACAAACUCUUCCUUCCCUGACCUUCUGUCAUCAGGAAAUGUGAUAUCUCAUAUGCCAUGAGGAUGUUAUCUGUUAUCAACCAUCCAGGUACAAACGCACUCUGGUUAUCCGAGAUGAUCUGUGGCAGGAUAAGCUUGAGGCGAUUCGCCACAACUUUGGAGAUUAUCUGUUACACAAACUUAUUGGCAUGAGAUCCUUUAUCCGUGAAGGUUUUUUUACCUUGGGUAUUAGUACCACAUGAGUAUCAUUCCAACCCGCUGGCAUCUCACCACCCUCCAGAACAUGUCGCACCUCAUCAAUGAUAUUCCUGCCCAUUAACUGCCAAUAUUUCUUGAAAACCACCGCGGGCAUGCCAUCCGGCCCAGGUGCUUUGAGAUCUCCGAUCUGAUCUAGAGCAGUUUGGAUUUCCAUAUCAGAGAAUGCAGCAGUAAGGCUAUCAUUCAUAGCACUAGUCACCUUCACUUGCAUAGCCCUGAGAAGCUCAUCAUAUUGGCCAUUGCCAUUGGAGGUGAAUAGGUCCUUAAAAUAAGACACGACAUAGUUAGUGAGCUCUCUUCCUUCCUCUACAACUACUCCAUCCUCCCUCCUAAGCCUCCGUAUCCUGUUGGCCUUCCUUCUCGCCGAGGCAUAUCGAAAGAAAAACUUUGUGUUUCUAUCCCCUUCCUUCAGCCACCAAACAUGAGCACGUUGCCUCCACUUAAUAUCAAGCACUUCCUCCAAAUGAUCAACCAAACACUGUAACCUCACCUCCUCAGCCACCUUCUCGGGUGAGACCCCUUGUUUUCUACAAGCUUCCAACUCUCGCUUUGCCUCCUUCAACUUCUUUUCCGUAUCCCCCACCACAUCCCUGCUCCAUCUAGAUAGAUCACGCGCCACCCCCUCCAGCGCCGUGGCCACAUCCGGCACUCCACCUUCUCGUACUCUUCUCCACGCUUCCUCCACCACCAACUCGCAACCCUCUUCCUUCAGCCACCGGGCCUCAAAGCGGAAGCAUCCCCGUCCCUUCCUCCCCCUGUCCCCCACCUCCUCCGUGUCCACCACCACCGGCCGGUGAUCGGAGUGCCUCGGGAACUCAUUUCGAACACGGAACUCCGAGAAUUUUGAACACCAUUCCAUGUUAGCAGUGGCCCGGUCGAGACGCCCACAAACAUACCCUUCCGCACGCGUAUAGUUGUUCCACCAAGUGAUAACAUCUCCCUCGUAUCCUAGAUCACUCAACUUGCACUCCUCCAACGCCUCCUUAAACUGAUUCAUGCACCCCUCCGGUCGGUCCACACCACCUCUCUUCUCCUCAUUAGACAUGAUCUCAUUAAAAUCACCCAAACAUAGCCACGACCUCCUCUCCUGCUGUUGCUGAUUAAGCAAGUGCAUCGUCCUCCAGGUUUCCUUCUUUCUUCCCCAUUGCGACUCCCCAUACACUCUAGUAAUCCUCCAAGUUGAGUCAUCCUCCUCUGUUAUAUCCGCAUCAACGUGCCUUCUACCCACCGACCGCAAAGAGAGAUUGAUGCCCCUCCUCCAGAAAAUAGUCACCCCCGGCUCCUUCCUUCUGAGUCCUUCGCACACAUAUUUGCCAACCCUAGCUUCCACCUGUACUGUUCUAGCUCCUUCUCCAGCAACUUUGUCUCGCACAAAAAGAAAACAUCGGGAUCCUCCACCCUCUUGAGGUCCAAGAGGCCACGAACUGUCGGGCCAUUCCCGAGUCCCCGACAGUUCCAGCUUACAAUCCUCAUUGCGUCCGGCGGGGCUGCUCUGGCAGCCCGGCCGAUAUAGUGUUUAAAGGAGACGUCUCAGUUGCACCCAUCACCUUGUCACCCCUCCUCCACCCUUCCCUUCUUUCUCAAGUGCUCCUCUUCUUCCCCCUCCACAUUCCUCUUCUGCCCUAACACACGAUCAACUACACUGUCUUCUUUUGACACCACCGGCCCUUCCCUUCUAACCUUCUUGUAUUUCUUUGGUAUAUGCGCGCCACUCUUCCCUCUCCCAUCCUCCUUUGCAGUGCUUUCUUCCACUACUUCCUUCACAGUCUGCAUCUCUGGUUGGAGCACACCUCCCUUGCCUACCUGCCCCUCGUCCAUCUCCACCUCCAUAGCCGCUCCUCCCCCCCCACACCAUUGGCAUUAGCGUCGAUCACCUCCUUGCUUCCACCGUCCGCAUGAAAGGUUAUCCUCUUUUGAAGCCCCCCGCCCCCGCACGCCUUAGUGAUCUUGCUGGGGCUAUUGACUUCUUCUCCCUCCUCCGUCCGUUCCUCCCCUAUCUGAGGGACAGAUUUUCGCCAGCUGAGGCUAUCACUGCGAGACCUACCACCCAACCUCCCACCCCCAUACAAUCGCCCAUUUCCAGAGCCGCUCCCACUCCCAUUCUGGUUGUUUCUCCACAUCCUUCCUUCCUCUAGACCACGACGUCUCCCCAUGUCAGCACGCAACCAUCGCCCGUACUGCGCCUUCUCCCCCUUCUUCAGCUUGGUCAAACACCCUUUGUCCACAUGUCCAAUGAUUCCACAUAUAUAACAGAAGUCAGGGAGGUAUUCGUACUCAAAACGGCAAAAAGGCCUCUCCUUCUCAACAUCUCCUUCAUUUUCACGCUCCUUCUCCUCAUCACUCUCCGACUCCUCAUCCAGCGCGACUCCCCUCAUUAUCGGUUUAUUGAUCGGCAUACACACCUUAAUGCGCAAAAACCUCCCCACCGCCGAACCAUCCACUCCGGAGUCCAUCUCCACGUACUUGCCUACUAGAUUUCCAAUCUCCUCCGCCAUCUCCUCCUCCAUCUUCCCCAACGGCAAGCCAAACACUCUGAACCAAACAGGGACCUCCUCGAACACAUACUGCUCAAUUCGCUUGCUCGGCACAAAAUCCACCAUCACAACGAGGUCAUUAUCGAACAUCCAUGGUCCAUCCUCCAACGCCUUGCGCUUGCAUGACUCUUGUUUGAAGGUGAAUAUGAAGAUAUUCUCGCCCAGCUCUUUGCAGUCCACGCCCUUCAGGGGACACCAGCACUUUCCCAGCGAUAGGCAGAUCGCGUCCGGGUGCGCGGGUCUCUCCGGCAUCACCUUCCCCACCGCUUGGAUCUCACCCUUACUCUCCUUUGCCUGCGACAUCCACCGGAUCUUCACUCCUUUCCUCUCCUCCUCCGACAGCUUCAUCUUCUCCAUCAACCCCGCAACCUUCUCCAUGGCGGCUCGUACUCAGUGUCUGUGACUGAAACCCUAGACAGGUGUUUUACGAUCGUGUGCCCUAGGAAGCACCCAAAAGGCUUUUGGUGGAAUACGGGGGAGUCCCGCUGGGCGGACAGUGCGCCUCGCUGUGGGACAGGGAUCACUCGACGGCACCCACCGGCGAUCAGAUCUGAGCGCACGGGGCGGAUGCACCACGGGAACCAGGAAGGAACAAAUCGCUUCCAUGAUCGCCGGACAUACCAACCGUCACCGCGUACGUGGGAUGGACCGCAGGAGUGUUUACUUGGACCCUUCCCAAGUGGCUGAAACUGCUUCGCCGGGGGUUGAUACCGUGGGGAUGGGAGACGGGGAGGCCAACUUAUGAGGGAUUCAAGAUGUUUCGUUUUGGGGAGGUUUGCUUCUGCUUCCGCUGGUCGAGGAAUAGAGAUCCAAAUGGGAGGGGCGCAUAUUGUGGAGCACCGAGGGGUCAUCUCGUAGGAUGGUAGGCUCUCUCGUGGGUUGUAAUAGCAGUAACUAAAGCCACGUGCUAGUAAAAAAACUUUUGGGUGGAAUACCAUCAAGUGAUGCUACGUGAACAUGGAGAAAAAAACCAAGAGUUAAAGUGACGUGGAUGGAAAUUGCUGAGGUGGCUAGACGAUGAUGUGGACGGGCUGCAUGUUGAGAGAAUUGGUAGUAGUGGGGAUCAACUUCUUAAGAAUGUAAGAUUAAUAUAUUAGUAUUUAUUCCUCUCACUCAAUAAAAUCAAGGACCAGCUCAGGAACGGAAAAGGUCUACAAUCAAUUACCAAUAUAUUUUACUAAUUGGUUAUUUAUUUUUUAAUUUUUGGUGUUGUAAAAAUUCCUAAACUAUGAAUUUUUUGUAUUGAAAUGACUACCACGUGUGUGAAACUAUCAUCAUGGUAUCCAUCAAACCACUUAAGUCUCAAGGGACCAAAUCAGAAAGAGAAGCUCUAAUGUACCACCUAUACUAUUCAAUACUCCAUCAACUAUUAUACAAAUAUACAACCUGGAAAAAGGUGAUGCCCAUGAGGGUACCAUAUGCCAAAAUCAGCCCUCUGUCUAAAUAUUCACGUAAUAGAUAAAACAUGGGAUGAAAACCCUGGAUGGCACCAAACAAAACGAAAUACCAACCUAUGAUGGUACCAUAUGCCAAAAUCAGCCCUCUUCCCUUUGUGCCUUUUGCGGCCAACAGAUUAUGUUCACUUCAGUUCUAUCCGUGAUGCCACGGCAUUAGCUUUUCUGUUUUCUUUUCUUAUUUUUCUAACUCAACAAAGCUCUUUUUUCCAUUAUAUCUUGCAAGAAAUUUUCUUUCUUCCUUUUUAUACUUUUUUGACAAAACCUGCAAUGUCGUUCUAAAAGUUGCGUAAAGAAAAGGAUGGCCAACAACAAGCUGGCUCACAUGUCAGUCACCCAUGAUCGUCGGACAUCACAUGCUAGCUACGAGUUUCCGAUAUGACCUUCUGAUAGGCACCGAUGCUAGCAUGCCUAUGCUUUAAUGAAACACAUCACAACACGGCGAGAUCUUUUGAAUUUUUUCCCAUCUCGUCAAAAUUUGUCUUUCUCAUCUCUCUUUCAUGUGAAGGAGUAUUAUUAUUUUUGUUUUCAGCCGUUUCAGGCCCAUCUUUGUUUUCAGUGUGUUUCAUAUGUGGUUAGUUGGAUACCAAAGCAUGACAAUGGUGAAACAAAAAAACGACACUAUCCAUAUUUUGGAGCCAACAAAGAGAAUUAAAUAUGUGGCAUCAUUUUGCCUUGUGCCAUUUUGGACAACAUUUUCUGUUCAGUUCUAUCCAAACGUAGGAGAAAAAUUGUUUUAGCAUCUUUUCUCCCUUUCUUAUUUUUCAAACUCCACAAAGUUCCUUUUCUAUUGUAUCCGGGGAGAAAGAAUUUACUUUCUUUCUAUUUCUAUAUAUUUUUGGACAAAACUUGAAAGAAAAACACACCUUUGUUUUGUUAGAGGAGUUGCAAAAAGAAAUGAGCAUCCGGCAACAAGCUGGUCAACAUGUCAGCCGCCCACAAGUGUAGAUAAUCACAACGGUCUUCGUUGCGAAAUAUUACAACUCUAAUUUAUACGCGAUGGAAGCGAGAGAAUACUUAUAAGCUCUAUCAAUUGAGUUGUCAAUUCAACCACAUAUGAAAACAAGUACUUGCUCGAAGAAAUUUGUACCAAUGACAAUCUACUAAAUGGACUGGUGUACGUAGUAGUAGAGUUACACAAAGUAGUAAAUACCCGAGAGUUGCCAAAUAUGAAGGAACGAAAGAAAGCAAGCAAUAAUGAAAAAAUGCAGAUAUAUGUAGAGUUCUUUGGAUAUUUACUACUCUCUGUAACACGCUGAAAGAGCACAAGGGAAAAAAAUUCUCAUCACAUGGUUGGAGAGAUCAUGGCGGCGAUGAGGGAGAAGGGGUUGACGGAACCGAUGGUGAAGCUUCCCCUCUCCGAUGGCAUGGUGAAGCCUUCAGCAGUCCUCCGAGAAGAAGAUCAACAAUGGCGGCCCCGCAUCAAGAAUAAUUCUGUGAUAAAUAUGCAAAUCUGCAUUGUCACGUGCAAUGCACCCCAUUCAACUCUCCAGAACCUAAUUGAUCUAGCUCACGGGCCACCAAGAAAAGAGAUUCUACCUUGCAUGAGAGGUCUCGUGUAUAGGUCCCAUGCAUGGGUCAAUUUCUUUCCCCCUUUCCCUCACACACUACACAUAUUAUAUACACCACCCAUCCAUGCAUUUUUCAUUUGAUUUCAAAGUUUGAAUCUACUUUAUCCAUUGAGUCAAACGUCUAAUUUAUGAUCCGCCUGCAUCUUUGUGUUCUUUGCGAUGAGCACUUUGAAACAAGACCACUCUUGAAUACAUUUUGACAAGUUUUAAAAAUUGAAAUAUGAAACACGGUGAAACUCUAUGAAACAUAGUGAAAUAAUAUUGUGUUGCGUGAAGCGUAUAUUGAGUUUUCAUCAAGUUUCAUCAAGUUCUAUACUGACGAACAUUAUGAUGCACCAAGUUUCUCCAAGUUUUAACAAGUUCCCUAUCCAUCACUUUGACACACAAUUCAAUCGACAUGAUACACUAUGGUACAAGAGAAAAUAUGAUAUAACAAACUAAAAUGUCAUAGAACAAUAUUACCAAGUUUUAUUAGGUUAUUUUGUGUUGCAUCAUGUAUCACUAAGUUUCAUAAAUUUCCAUCAUGUUUUUGAAUUCAAAUUUUAAAUAUUUUCCUAAUAUAUUCAAGAUUGGCUUUGUUCGGAAGACUUCCUUACCGGAAAUUAUAAUGUGCAAACAGAUAAAAAAAUCCGACUCAUAUUCAAAACAUAAAAUUGAUACAAUAUUUGAAUCAUAUGAAAAAAGUAUGGGUGAGUUACAUUGUACUAGGGUUGUAGAGUAGUUUUGAGGUCAUUUCUGCCAUGAAUCAUGGUGCAACAAUCAACGGGUGAACCGUGCAUAGUAUUUAAUCAGUCUCAUGGGCCACGUGAGUGUCUUGACAAUGAAUCUUUUGAAUACAAACCUCUUGAGCACUGACCUUUAGUUGGUGAUGGAAAUCAGUGGCAAUAUCAUGGAGGUGUGACCUGCUCUCUAACAAUUGUGUGAUUGCAGAAAUGACCUCUGAGUGAAGCUUGUACACAGUUGUUCAUGGCAUCCCAUGCCGAGAGAAGAACUUCGCCACUUUGAUCCCUAAAAUCAUCGUUCCCAAGCACAGGGAGAGACAUAUACGUGUAUAAUGGCCUCACAUGCACUCGUCCUUGUGACCGCUAUUCUCCUCUUGUUGUUAUUUCUCUUUUGGGCAAUUAGCUCGUGCGCACAGCAUAGGCUUUGAGAAGAAGACCAUCACAGAGUGAUUAUAUUAACCCUAAAGGACAAGGACUGAUGGUGAACUGAUGCCAUGUACUACUACAACACCUCAUAUCCUUGUAGUUUUUCUUUUCUUUCAAAACUACUCCUUUAGGGUUGUAAUUGUUUGUGAUGAUCAUGUCACGGAGCCAUGCAUGGAGUAUCUUUCUAUGAUGAUCACUCCGCUUGUAAUAGUCUGUGAUGCACUUUGUAAUUUGGUAUACCCAUUCGCUGGCAUGACUAAUGUUCACGAGGAGGACAUGAUAUAGGUGCUUGGCGAGAGGGCAUAGCAAAGGCACAUCGCCCGUGAACGGAGAAUCUUUCUGUUUCAUGAUGCGACGGUGGGUAUUGGUUCGUUUGACUUUUGAGUCAACAUUUGUCUUCUAGAUAUGUCCAAUAUUUUUCUUAAAAAAAGUUAAAAUUAGUAAGUGCAAAUUUCAGAAUCCUCCAUACCAUUUUCCUGAUUUAUGUAAGGCAUCAUGGGACCACAUUGUUUAUUUUGUUCGCAGUUACUUGGAGUAAAGCAACGGGCAAAAUGAGAAGUGCUUUUACUUGCUUUUACAAGUACAACCAUUCCAGAUGGCGUCGAAGCACAUUGUUAUUGAGAAUAUUCCCUCAAAGGAAACACAUAUGGCCUCACCUUACCAAAGACAAAGCACUAGAAGAGGGCGAGAUCCAUCGAGAGCAACUAAGAAAUGGAUCUUAAUGCACUCAAAACCGAUGUGCCCCAUCAUGAACCGAGGGACCUGGUGACCGAAGUUCAUAACCCUAUCGCCUUAAAAAACCGCUACGACUAGGAGGCAUGCCUAGUGGACUAUGUAGAGUUGAAGAACAAGUCCUAGGCUGCAGGAUUAGCUGAGGAAUGGUCAUUUUUCUCCCGAUGUCUCCAAUUCCCUUGUAUUCCCCGUACACUCUAAGGUUAUCACCUGUUUGAUGUGCUAGCAAUGCCAACUAGAAGAUGCGAUGGUUAAUGUCCGAGAUUGCUGAAAAUUGAGUAGUAUAUAUAGCUAGAAAAUAUUAUUCGCUCGAAUAAAUGUUGGUGGAGUAUUUAUGUUAUUCACGUGGUGAAUGUCCAAGAGUACAGCCUCACUUCAUGUGUUGGUACUGACACCUGUUGUCUACUUUUUUGUGGAUACAUAUUAUUAACCCAAACGAUCCGAUGGUGAAACCUCUAUCUUGUACUACUAGAGUACCGCGUAUUUUGCCUCCUUGCCAUUGUGGCUUGAGGGUUCGACUAUGUGAGUUGUGUCGUUGUAGUCGUGGCGUGUGUCCUGUGUGCCGAAAGGUGUUGUAUCCGCCGCUUGGCUCUUCUUCUGUGCUAUUGAUGCACCUUUCCAUGGUGUAUACUUGAAAAAAGGUACCGUGUGUCUCCAUGUAGCUUUUCUCCAAACUAUCUUUAUGUGAUGAUCCUAUAUUAGCACUAUCAAUCUACCAAGUCAGACAAUACCUUUUGUGAGAACUGUAUAUUUAUAUACGUACCUUCUCCAUCCGUUCCAAAUUACUUGUCGUGGUUUCAGUACAAAUUUGAACUAAAACCACGACGAGUAAUUUGGAACAGAGGGAGUACAAUAUAAGAUUGUUUUUAUGCUAUGUUAGCUUGAAAAUGAUCUUAUAUUGUGAGACUGCGGGAGUAUAGAUUAGUCAUCGUUCAUGAGGAGAACAAGAAAUGUCAAAGAAAAGAAAACAAUAUCCAUGCAAAACUCGAACUAGAGGAGACACGUCUCGUGAAUGCAGUAUGGGAAGAGCGUGGGAACGUAAAGUAACCAAGAUUUGGAAAAUCGAGAGCUCCGCUGGCACCUUAAGUGAGCCUAAUUGCUCUGCCGGCUUUGGCAGUGCUACUGAACAAGAUGAAGGUAUAUAGUGAAACUUAUACGUUGUAAUGGCCUCGUUCAUCCCUGUGGCUGCGGUCCGCGUCGCACUGUUGUCCCUCCUGCUAGCAGCUUCCCAUGCAGAUACCGUCCGCAAUCGUACGACCUCCGUGACAACCGUAGGAUUGUAGUAGUGAGAAGAAGAUCAGCAGGUAUCCUAACUGCAUUUCUAUUGAGCUAGACACAAUGAGCAGCACCGAUGUUGUCGUCUCUUCCUUGGGGCAGUACCGGACCGGGCAUACUCACUAGACCUUAGUGAGCUGGGCAUGCCAACAUACGACAUGACACAUCUGUGUUGGGGAACGUUGCAGAAAACAAAAAUUUUCUUAUGGUUUCACCAAGGUCCAUCUAUGAGUUCAUCUAGAAACGAGUGAUUGGAUUGCAUCUACAUACCUUUGUGGAUCACGCGCGGAAGCGUUCAAAGAACGGGGAUGAGGAAGACGUACUCGACGUGAUCCAAAUCACCGAAGAUCCUAGCGCCGAACGAACGGCACCUCCGUGUUCAACACACGUACGGUCAGCGUGACGUCUCCUCCUUCUUGAUCCAGCAAGGGGGGAGGAGAGGUUGAUGAAGAUCCAGCAGCACGACGGCGUGGUGGUGGAUGCAGGGCGUCACCGCAGCAGGGCUUCCCCGUAUACUGCGAGAGAGAGAGAGAGGUGUAGCAGGGGAGAGGGAGGCGCCAAGACUCAAGGUAUUGCUGCCCCCUCCCUCCCCCCCUUUAUAUAGGCUCCCCUAGGGGGGCGCCGGCCCUAGAAGAUGGGAUCUCCUAGGGGGGGCGGCGGCCAAGGGUGGAGUAGCCCCCAAGGCAAGGUGGGGCGCCCCCCACCCCUAGGGUUCCAACCCUAGGCGCAUGGGGUGGGCCUAGGGGGGCGCACCAGCCCACUAUGGGCUGGUUCCCCUCCCCACUUUGGCCCAUGGGGCCCUCCGGGAUGGGUGGCCCCACCCGGUGGACCCCCGGGACCCUUCCGGUGGUCCCGGUACAAUACCGGUGACCCCGAAACUCUCCCGAUGGCCGAAACUGCACUUUCUAUAUAUAAUUCUUCACCUCCGGACCAUUCCGGAACUCCUCGUGAUGUCCAGGAUCUCAUCCGGAACUCCGAACAACUUUCGGGUUACUGCAUAUUCAUAUCUCUACAACCCUAGCAUCACCGAACCUUAAGUGUGUAGACCCUACGGGUUCGGGAGACAUGUAGACAUGACCGAGACGGCUCUCCGGUCAAUAACCAACACCGGGAUCUGGAUACCCAUGUUGGCUCCCACAUGCUCCUCGAUGAUCUCAUCGGAUGAACCACGAUGUCGAGGAUUCAAGCAACCCCGUAUUCAAUUCCCUUUGUCAAUCGGUACGUUACUUGCCCGAGAUUCGAUCGUCGGUAUCCCAAUACCUCGUUCAAUCUCGUUACCGGCAAGUCACUUUACUCGUACCGUAAUGCAUGAUCCCGUGACCAGACACUUGGUCACUUUGAGCUCAUUAUGAUGAUGCAUUACUGAGUGGGCCCAGAGAUACCUCUCCGUCAUACGGAGUGACAAAUCCCAGUCUUGAUCCGUGUCAACCCAACAGACACUUUCGGAGAUACCCGUAGUAUACCUUUAUAGUCACCCAGUUACGUUGUGACGUUUGGUAUACCCAGAGCACUCCUACGGUAUCCGGGAGUUACACGAUCUCAUGGUCUAAGGAAAAGAUACUUGACAUUGGAAAAACUCUAGCAAACGAACUAUACGAUCUUGUGCUAUGUUUAGGAUUGGGUCUUGUCCAUCACAUCAUUCUCCUAAUGAUGUGAUCCCGUUAUCAAUGGCAUCCCCAUGUCCAUAGCCAGGAAACCAUGACUAUCUGUUGAUCAACGAGCUAGUCAACUAGAGGCUCACUAGGGACACAUUAUGGUCUAUGUAUUCACACAUGUAUUACGAUUUCCGGAAAAUACAAUUAUAGCAUGAAUAAUAGACAAUUAUCAUUAACAAGGAAAUAUAAUAAUCAUUUUAUUAUUGCCUCUAGGGCAUAUUUCCAACAGUCUCCCACUUGCACUAGAGUCAAUCAUCUAGUUACAUUGAGAUGAAUCGAACACCCAUGGAAUUCUGUUGUUGAUCAUGUUUUGCUCUAGGGAGAGGUUUACUCAACGGAUCUGCUACAUUCAGGUCCGUAUGUUCUUUACAAAUCUCUAUGUCUCCAUUUUGAACACUUUUACGAAUGGAGUUGAAGCGACGCUUGAUAUACCUGGUCUUCCUGUGAAACCUGGGCUCCUUGGCAAGGGCAAUAGCUCCAGUGUUGUCACAGAAGAGAGUCAUCGGGCCCGACGCAUUGGGUAUGACUCCUAGGUCGGUAAUGAACUCCUUCACCCAGACUGCUUCAUGUGCUACCUCCGAGGCUGCCAUGUACUCCGCUUCACAUGUAGAUCCUGCCACAACGCUUUGCUUGCAACUGCACCAGCUUACUGCCCCACCAUUCAAAAUAUACACGUAUCCGGUUUGUGACUUAGAGUCAUCCAGAUCUGUGUCGAAGCUAGCGUCAACGUAACCCUUUACGACGAGCUCUUCGUCACCUCCAUAAACGAGAAACAUUUCCUUAGUCCUUUUCAGGUACUUCAGGAUAUUCUUGACUGCUGUCCAGUGUUCCUUGCCGGGAUUACUUUGGUACCUUCCUACCAAACUUACGGCAAGGUUUACAUCAGGUCUGGUACACAGCAUGGCAUACAUAAUGGAACCUAUGGCUGAGGCAUAGGGGAUGACACUCAUCUCUUCUAUAUCUUCUGCCGUGGUCGGACAUUGAGCCGAGCUCAAUUUCACACCUUGCAACACAGGCAAGAACCCCUUCUUAGACUGAUCCAUAUUGAACUUCUUCAAUAUCUUAUCAAGGUAUGUGCUUUGUGAAAGACCUAUGAGGUGUCUUGAUCUAUCUCUAUAGAUCUUGAUGCCUAAUAUAUAAGCAGCUUCUCCAAGGUCCUUCAUUGAAAAACUCUUAUUCAAGUAGGCCUUAAUGCUGUCCAAAAGCUCUAUAUCAUUUCCCAUCAAAAGUAUGUCAUCUACAUAUAAUAUGAGAAAUGCUACAGAGCUCCCACUCACUUUCUUGUAAACGCAGGCUUCUCCAUAAGUCUGCAUAAACCCAAACGCUUUGAUCAUCUCAUCAAAGCGAAUGUUCCAACUCCGAGAUGCUUGCACCAGCCCAUAAAUCGAGCGUUGGAGCUUGCACACCUUGUCAUCAUUCUUAGGAUCGAUAAAACCUUUCGGCUGCAUCAUAUACAGUUCUUCCUUAAGAUGACCGUUAAGGAAUGCCGUUUUGACGUCCAUUUGCCAUAUCUCAUAAUCAUAGUAUGCGGCAAUUGCUAACAUGAUUCAGACGGACUUCAGCUUUGCUACGGGAGAGAAUGUCUCAUCGUAGUCAACCCCUUGAACUUGUCGAUAACCCUUAGUGACAAGCCUAGCUUUAUAGAUGGUCACAUUACCAUCCGCGUCUGUCUUCUUCUUAAAGAUCCAUUUAUUUUCUAUGGCUCGCCGAUCAUCGGGCAAGUCAGUCAAAGUCCAUACUUCGUUUUCAUACAUGGAUCCUAUCUCGGAUUUCAUGGCUUCCAGCCAUUUGUCGGAAUCCGGGCCCGCCAUCGCUUCUUCAUAGUUCGAAGGUUCACCAUUGUCUAACAACAUGAUUUCCAAGACAGGGUUGCCGUACCACUCUGGUGCGGAACGUGUCCUUGUGGACCUUCGAAGUUCAGUAGGAGCUUGAUCAGAAGUAUCUUGAUCAUCAUCAUUAACUUCCUCUCUAAUUGGUGCAGGCACCACAGGAACAUUUUCCUGAGUUGCGCCACUUUCCGGUUCAAGAGGCAAUACUUCAUCAAGUUCUACUUUCCUCCCACUUACUUCUUUCGAGAGAAACUCCUUCUCUAGAAAGGAUCCAUUCUUGGCAACAAAGAUCUUGCCUUCGGAUCUGAGGUAGAAGGUAUACCCAAUAGUUUCUUUAGGGUAUCCUAUGAAGACGCAUUUUUCUGACUUGGGUUCGAGCUUUUCAGGUUGAAGUUUCUUGAAGUAAGCAUCGCAUCCCCAAACUUUUAGAAACGACAGCUUAGGCUUGUUCCCAAACCAUAAUUCAUACGGUGUCGUCUCAAUGGAUUUCGACGGAGCCCUAUUUAAAGGGAAUGUGGCAGUCUCUAAAGCAUAACUCCAAAAUGACAGCGGUAAAUCGGUAAGAGACAUCAUAGAUCGCACCAUAUCUAAUAGAGUGCGAUUACGAUGUUCGGACACACCAUUACGCUGAGGUGUUCCAGGAGGCGUGAGUUGUGAAACUAUUCCACAUUUUCUUAAGUGUGUACCAAAUUCGUGACUCAAGUAGUCUCCUCCACGAUCUGAUCGCAAAAACUUGUUUUUUCUGUCACGUUGAUUCUCAACCUCACUUUGAAAUUCCUUGAACUUUUCAAAGGUUUCAGACUUGUGUUUCAUUAAGUAGAUAUACCCAUAUCUACUCAAGUCAUCAGUGAGGGUGAGAACAUAACGAUAGCCACCACGAGCCUCAACACUCAUUGGACCGCACACAUCAGUAUGUAUGAUUUCCAAUAGGUUGGUUGCUCGCUCCAUUGUUCCUGAGAACGGAGUCUUGGUCGUCUUACCCAUGAGGCAUGGUUCGCACGUCUCAAAUGAUUCGUAAUCAAGAGACUCUAAAAGUCCAUCUGUAUGGAGCUUCUUCAUGCGUUUGACACCUAUGUGACCAAGGCGGCAGUGCCACAAGUAUGUGGGACUAUCAUUAUCAACCUUACAUCUUUUGGUACUCACACUAUGAAUAUGUGUAGCAUUACGCUGGAGAUUCAUUAAGAAUAAACCAUUCACCAUAGGAGCAUGACCAUAAAACAUAUCUCUCAUAUAAAUAGAACAACCAUUAUUCUCGGAUUUAAAUGAGUAGCCAUCUCGUAUUAAACGAGAUCCUGAUACAAUGUUCAUGCUCAAAGCUGGUACUAAAUAACAAUUAUUGAGGUUUAAAACUAAUCCCGUGGGUAAAUGUAGAGGUAGCGUGCCGACGGCGAUCACAUCGACCUUGGAACCAUUCCCGACGCGCAUCAUCACCUCGUUCUUCGCCAGUCUCCGCUUAUUCCACAGCUCCUGCUUUGAGUUACAAAUGUGAGCAACCGCACCGGUAUCAAAUACCCAGGAGCUACUACGAGUACUGGUAAGGUACACAUCAAUUACGUGUAUAUCACAUAUACCUUUCGUUUUUCCGGCCUUCUUGUCCGCUAAGUAUUUGGGGCAGUUCCGCUUCCAGUGACCACUUCCCUUGCAAUAAAACACUCAGUCUCGGGCUUGGGUCCAUUUUUUGGCUUCUUCCCGGCAGCUUGCUUACCGGGCACGGCAACUCCCUUGCCGUCCUUCUUGAAGUUCUUAUUACCCUUGCCUUUCUUGAACUUAGUGGUUUUAUUCACCAUCAACACUUGAUGGUCCUUUUUGACUUCUACAUCUGCUGAUUUCAGCAUUGCAAAUACUUCAGGAAUGGUCUUUUCCAUCCCUUGCAUAUUGAAGUUCAUCACAAAGCUCUUGUAGCUUGGUGGAAGCGAUUGGAGGAUUCUGUCAAUGACCGCGUCAUCCAGGAGAUUAACUCCCAGCUGAGUCAAGCGGUUAUGUAACCCAGACAUAGUGAGUAUGUGCUCACUGACAGAACUAUUUUCCUCCAUCUUACAGCUGAAGAACUUGUCGGAGACUUCAUAUCUCUCGACCCGGGCAUGAGCUUGGAAAACCAUUUUCAGCUCUUCGAACAUCUCAUAUGCUCCGUGUUGCUCAAAGCGCUUUUGGAGCCCCGGUUCUAAGCUGUAAAGCAUGCCGCACUGAACGAGGGAGUAAUCAUCAACACAUGUCUGCCAAGCGUUCAUAACGUCUUGGUUCUGUGGGACGGGUGCGUCACCUAGCGGUGCUUCUAGGACAUAAUCUUUCUUGGCAGCUAUUUGGAUGAUCCUCAGGUUCCGGACCCAGUCCGUAUAGUUGCUGCCAUCGUCUUUCAGUUUGGUUUUCUCUAGGAACGCGUUGAAGUUGAGGACAACGUUGGCCAUUUGAUCUACAAGACAUAUUGUAAAUAUUUUAGACUAAGUUCAUGAUAAUUAAGUUCAUCUAAUCAAAUUAUUCAAUGAACUCCCACUUAGAUAGACAUCCCUCCAGUCAUCUAAGUAUAACAUGAUCCGAGUUGACUAGGCCGUGUCCGAUCAUCACGUGAGACGGACUAGUCAACAUCGGUGAACAUCUUCAUGUUGAUCGUAUCUUCUAUACGACUCAUGCUCGACCUUUCGGUCUUCUGUGUUCCGAGGCCAUGUCUGUACAUGCUAGGCUCGUCAAGUCAACCUAAGUGUAUUGCGUGUGUAAAUCUGUCUUACACCCGUUGUAUGUGAACGUUGGAAUCUAUCACACUCGAUCAUCACGUGGUGCUUCGAAACAACGAACUGUCGCAACGGCGCACAGUUAGGGGGAACACUUUCUUGAAAUUAUUAUGAGGGAUCAUCUUAUUUACUACCACCGUUCUAAGUAAACAAGAUGCAAAAACAUGAUAAACAUCACAUGCAAUCAAAUAAUAAUAGUGACAUGAUAUGGCCAAUAUCACAUGGCUCCUUUGAUCUCCAUCUUGGGGUCCAUGAUCAUCUUAUCACCGGCAUGACACCAUGAUCUCCAUCAUCGUGUCUCCAUGAAGUUGCUCGCCAACUAUUACUUCUACUACUAUGGCUAAUGUGUUUAGCAAUAAAGUAAAGUAAUUUACAUGGCGUUUCUCAAUGACACGCAGGUCAUACAAAAAAUAAAGACAACUCCUAUGGCUCCUGCCGGUUGUCAUACUCAUCGACAUGCAAGUCAUGAUUCCUAUUACAAGAACAUGAUCUCAUACAUCACAUAUAUAUCAUUCAUCAUUCAUCACAACUUUGGCCAUAUCACAUCACAAAUCACUUGCUGCAAAAACAAGUUAGACGUCCUCUAAUUGUUUGUUGCAAGUUUUACGUGGCUGCAAAAGGGUUCUAGCAAGAAUGUUUUCUUACCUACGUAAUAGCCACAACAUGAUUUGUCAACUUCUAUUUACCCUUCAUAAGGACCCUUUUCAUCGAAUCUGCUCCAACUAAAGUGGGAGAGACAGACACCCGCUAGCCACCUUAUGCAACUAGUGCAUGUCAGUCGGUGGAACCAGUCUCACGUAAGCGUUCGGUCCGGGCCGCUUCAUCCCACAAUACCGCCGAAGCAAGAUAAGACUAGUAGCGGCAAGAAAGUUGACAACAUCUACGCCCACAACAAAUUCUGUUCUACUCGUGCAAGGAGAACUACGCAUAGACCUAGCUCAUGAUGCCACUGUUGGGGAACGUUGGAGAAAACAAAAAUUUUCCUACGGUUUCACCAAGAUCCAUCUAUGAGUUCAUCUAGCAACGGGUGAUUGGAUUGCAUCUACAUACCUUUGUAGAUCAUGCGCGGAAGCGUUCAAAGAACGGGGAUGAGGAAGACGUACUCGACGUGAUCCAAAUCACCGGAGAUCCUAGAGCCGAACGGACGGCACCUCCGUGUUCAACACACGUACGGUCAGCGUGAUGUCUCCUCCUUCUUGAUCCAGCAAGGGGGAGGAGAGGUUGAUGAAGAUCCAGCAGCACGACGGCGUGGUGGUGGAUGCAGGGUGUCACAGCAGCAGGGCUUCGCCGUAUACUGCGAGAGAGNNNNNNNNNNNNNNNNNNNNNNNNNNNNNNNNNNNNNNNNNNNNNNNNNNNNNNNNNNNNNNNNNNNNNNNNNNNNNNNNNNNNNNNNNNNNNNNNNNNNNNNNNNNNNNNNNNNNNNNNNNNNNNNNNNNNNNNNNNNNNNNNNNNNNNNNNNNNNNNNNNNNNNNNNNNNNNNNNNNNNNNNNNNNNNNNNNNNNNNNNNNNNNNNNNNNNNNNNNNNNNNNNNNNNNNNNNNNNNNNNNNNNNNNNNNNNNNNNNNNNNNNNNNNNNNNNNNNNNNNNNNNNNAGGUGUAGCAGGGGAGAGGAAGGCGCCAAGACUCAAGGUAUUGCUGCCCCUCCCUCCCCCCUUUAUAUAGGCUCCCCUAGGGGGGCGCCGGCCCUAGGAGAUGGGAUCUCCUAGGGGGGGCGGCGGCCAAGGGUGGAGUAGCCCCCAAGGCAAGGUGGGGCGCCCCCCCCCCACCCCUAGGGUUCCAACCCUAGGCGCAUGGGGUGGGCCUAGGGGGGCGCACCAGCCCACUAUGGGCUGGUUCCCCUCCCCACUUUGGCCCAUGGGGCCCUCCGAGAUGGGUGGCCCCACCCGGUGGACCCCCGGGACCCUUCCGGUGGUCCCGGUACAAUACCGGUGACCCCGAAACUCUCCCGAUGGUCGAAACUGCACUUCCUAUAUAUAAUUCUUCACCUCCGGACCAUUCCGGAACUCCUCGUGACGUCCAGGAUCUCAUCCGGAACUCCGAACAACUUUCGGGUUACUGCAUAUUCAUAUCUCUACAACCCUAGCGUCACCGAACCUUAAGUGUGUAGACCCUACGGGUUCGGGAGACAUGUAGACAUGACCGAGACAGCUCUCCGGUCAAUAACCAACAGCGGGAUCUGGAUACCCAUGUUGGCUCCCACAUGCUCCUCGAUGAUCUCAUCGGAUGAACCACGAUGUCGAGGAUUCAAGCAACCCCGUAUUCAAUUCCCUUUGUCAAUCGGUAUGUUACUUGCCCGAGAUUCGAUCGUCGGUAUCCCAAUACCUCGUUCAAUCUCGUUACCGGCAAGUCACUUUACUCGUACCGUAAUGCAUGAUCCUGUGACCAGACACUUGGUCACUUCGAGCUCAUUAUGAUGAUGCAUUACCGAGUGGGCCCAGAGAUACCUCUCCGUCAUACGGAGUGACAAAUCACAGUCUUGAUCCGUGUCAACCCAACAGACACUUUCGGAGAUACCCGUAGUAUACCUUUAUAGUCACCCAGUUACGUUGUGACGUUUGGUAUACCCAGAGCACUCCUACGGUAUCCGGGAGUUACACGAUCUCAUGGUCUAAGGAAAAGAUACUUGACAUUGGAAAAACUCUAGCAAACGAACUAUACGAUCUUGUGCUAUGUUUAGGAUUGGGUCUUGUCCAUCACAUCAUUCUCCUAAUGAUGUGAUCCCGUUAUCAAUGACAUCCCCAUGUCCAUAGCCAGGAACCAUGACUAUCUAUUGAUCAACGAGCUAGUCAACUAGAGGCUCACUAGGGACACAUUAUGGUCUAUGUAUUCACACAUGUAUUACGAUUUCCAGACAAUACAAUUAUAGCAUGAAUAAUAGACAAUUAUCAUGAACAAGGAAAUAUAAUAAUCAUUUUAUUAUUGCCUCUAGGGCAUAUUUCCAACAAUCUGGAGGGAGAGUUCACAGAGGCAGAAAUCUGAGACGCGGUUCGCGCGCAAGAUCUUGACAAAGCACCGGGUCCGGAUGGGUUCUCGGCGCAUUUUCACGUCAUAUGUUGGCCAAUCAUCAAAGAUGACGUCUUGGAGGCUUUCCAUUCCUUUGGAAACUUGGAUUUUUGUGGGAUGACUUCUAUCAAUCAGGCAUUCAUCACUCUGUUGCCAAAAUCAGCCGAUGCACUUGAAGUGCAGGACUAUAGACCUAUCGGCUUGAUACAUAGCUUCCCCAAGCUUGCUGCCAAGGUGCUCGCGGCACGGGUCACUAGCGAUAUGCCGUGAUUGGUUGGCACUCACCAGAGUGCGUUCAUAAGAGGAAGAUGCCUACAUGACAACUACACGAUGGUGCAGUGUACAGCAAAAAGGUUGCAUGCCUCCCUGACACCUUCUGUCAUGCUCAAGCUAGACAUUACCAAAGCAUUUGAUACUGUGGAUUGGGCGUUCCUAAUGGAAGUAAUGCAACAAUUUGGAUUUGGCCCAAAAUGGAUCGCAUGGGUGGCUGGCCUCCUUGCCUCCUCCUCAACCAGAGUUCUACUCAAUGGAAUCCUCGAGGAAAUUAUUUACAACCGGCAAGGUCUGCGGCAGGGAGAUCCUAUGUCUCCCCUACCGUUUGUUAUGGUCAUGGAAGGUCUGCACCACUUGCUCCAGCACGCGGCAAUUGAUGGUGUGAUGGCACCUCUUACGCAUGCGGGAUUAUGACACAUGACCUCAAUUUAUGCGGAUGAUGUUGUAAUUUGGUAUACCCAUUCGCUUGCAUGACUAAUGUUCACGAGGAGGACAUGAUAUAGGUGCUUGGCGAGAGGGCAUAGCAAAGACACAUCGCCCGUGAACGGAGAAUCUUUCUGUUUCAUGAUGCGAUGGUGGCUAUUGGUUUGUUUGACUUUUGAGUCAACAUUUGUUUUCUAGAUAUGUCCAAUAUUUUUCUUAAAAAAGUUAAAAUUAGUAAAUGCAAAUUUCAGAAUCCUCCAUACCAUUUUCCUGAUUUAUGUAAGGCAUCAUGGGACCACAUUGUUUAUUUUGUUCGCGGUUACUUGGAGUAAAGCAACGGGCAAAAUGAGAAGUGCUUUUACUUGCUUUUACAAGUACAACCGUUCCAGAUGGCGUCGAAGCACAUUGUUGUUGAGAAUAUUCCCUCAGAGGAAACACAUAUGGCCUCACCUUACCAAAGACAAAGCACUAGAAGAGGGCGAGAUCCAUUGAGAGCAACUAAGAAAUGGAUCUUAAUGCACUCAAAACCGAUGUGCCCCAUCAUGAACCGAGGGACCUGGUGACCGAAGUUCAUAACCCUAUCGCCUUAAAAAAUGCUACGACUAGGAGGCAUGCCUAGUGGACUAUGUAGAGUUGAAGAACAAGUCCUAGGCUGCAGGAUUAGCUGAGGAAUGGUCGUUUUUCUCCCGAUGUCUCCAAUUCCCUUGUAUUCCCCGUACACUCUUAGGUUAUCACCUGUUUGAUGUGCUAGCAUUGCCAACUAGAAGAUGCGAUGGUUAAUGUCCGAGAUUGCUGAAAAUUGAGUAGUAUAUAUAGCUAGAAAAUAUUAUUCGCUCGAAUAAAUGUUGGUGGAGUAUUUAUGUUAUUCACGUGGUGAAUGUCCAAGAGUACAGCCUCACUUCAUGUGUUGGUACUGACACCUGUUGUCUACUUUUUUGUGGAUACAUAUUAUUAACCCAAAUGAUCCGAUGGUGAAACCUCUAUCUUGUACUACUAGAGUACCGCGUAUUUUGCCUCCUUGCCAUUGUGGCUUGAGGGUUCGACUAUGUGAGUUGUGUCGUUGUAGUCGUGGUGUGUGUCCUGUGUGCCGAAAGGUGUUGUAUCCACCGCUUGGCUCUUCUUCUAUGCUAUUGAUGCACCUUUCCAUGGUGUAUCCUUGAAAAAAAGGCACCGUGUGUCUCCAUGUAGCUUUUCUCCAAACUAUCUUUAUGUGAUGAUCCUAUAUUAGUACUAUCAAUCUACCAAGUCAGACAGUACCUUUUGUGAGAACUGUAUAUUUAUAUACGUACCUUCUCCUUUCGUUCCAAAUUACUUGUCGUGGUUUCAGUACAAAUUUGAACUAAAACCACGACGAGUAAUUUGGAACAGAGGGAGUACAAUAUAAGAUUGUUUUUAUGCUAUGUUAGCUUGAAAAAUGAUCUUAUAUUGUGAGACUGCGGGAGUAUAGAUUAGCCAUCAUUCAUGAGGAGAACAAGAAAUGUCAAAGAAAAGAAAACAAUAUCCACGCGAAACUCGAACUAGAGGAGACACGUCUCAUGGAUGCAGUAUGGGAAGAGCGUGGGAACGUAAAGUAACCAAGAUUUGGAAAAUCGAGAGCUCCGCUAGCACCUUAAGUGAGCCUAAUUGCUCUGCCGGCUUUGGCAGUGCUACUGAACAAGAUGAAGGUAUAUAGUGAAACCUAUACGUUGUAAUGGCCUCGUUCAUCCCUGUGGCUGCGGUCCUCGUCGCGCUGUUGUCCCUCCUGCUAGCAGCUUCCCAUGCAGAUACCGUCGGCAAUCGUACGACCUCCGUGACAACCGUAGAAUUGUAGUAGUGAGAAGAAGAUCAGCAGGUAUCCUAACUGCAUUUCUGUUGAGCUAGACACAAUGAGUAGCACCGAUGUUGUCGUCUCUUGCUUGGGGCAGUACCGGACUAGGCAUACUCACAAGACCUUAGUGAGCUGGGCAUGCCAACAUACGACAUGACACAUCUGGAGGAAGAAUUCACAGAGGCAGAAAUCUGAGACGCGGUUCGCGCGCAAGAUUUUAACAAAGCACCGGGUCUAGAUGGGUUCUCGGCGCAUUUUUACGUCAUAUGUUGGCCAAUCAUCAAAGAUGACGUCUUGGAGGCUUUCCAGUCCUUUGGAAACUUGGAUUUUUGUGGGAUGACUUCUAUCAAUCAGGCAUUCAUCACUCGGUUGCCAAAAUCAGCCGAUGCACUUGAAGUGCAGGACUAUAGACCUAUCGGCUUGAUACAUAGCUUCCCCAAGCUUGCUGCCAAGGUGCUCGCGGCACGGGUCACUAGCGAUAUGCCGUGAUUGGUUGGAGCUCACCAGAGUGCGUUCAUAAGAGGAAGAUGCCUACAUGACAACUACACGAUGGUGCAGUGUACAGCAAAAAGGUUGCAUGCCUCCUUGACACCUUCUGUCAUGCUCAAGCUAGACAUUACCAAAGCAUUUGAUACUGUGGAUUGGGCGUUCCUAAUGGAAGUAAUGCAACAAUUUGGAUUUGGCCCAAAAUGGAUCGCAUGGGUGGCUGGCCUCCUUGCCUCCUCCUCAACCAGAGUUCUACUCAAUGGAAUCCUCGAGGAAAUUAUUUACAACCGGCAAGGUCUGCGGCAGGGAGAUCCUAUGUCUCCCCUACCGUUUGUUAUGGUCAUGGAAGGUCUGCACCACUUGCUCCAGCACGCGGCAAUUGAUGGCGUGAUGGCACCUCUUACGCAUGCGGGAUUACGACACAUGACCUCAAUUUAUGCGGAUGAUGUUGUCACCUUUAUCAGACCAGACCUCCAGAGCCUUAGGGCGUGUGCUGCGCUACUGGAAGAUUUUGGCAUGGCGUCGGGGCUUCGCACGAACAUGGCCAAGUGCUCUGCGCACCCUAUUCGCUGUUCAGAUGAACAAGUGCAGCCGAUUGCGGAUGAGCUGGGAUGCCAAGUCGCUAGGUGGCCAUGCCGCUACCUGGGACUACCACUGGGUUUGCGCAAAAUAUCAGCAUCACAAUUGGAGUAUCUAGUGGAUAGAAUGGCUGAUCGACUUCCUGCGUUGCAAGCAAGACUCCUAUUCAGGGCUGGGCAGUUGGAGCUGCUGAAGACCACGCCGGCCUCCAUGCCCAUUCACGCGAUGGCGACGCUUGAUCUACCGGUCAAAACAAUUGAAGCGGCAAAUAAGAUAUGCCGUGUGUUUUUCUGGAAGGGGCACCGCGAGGUGCACGGUGGCCAUUGUAUGGUCGCAUGGCACCAAGUCUGCACACCGAAGGAGUAUGGUGGUCUCGGCAUACCGAACUUGCGCCUCCUCAACACAGCGCUUAGAGCGCGAUGGCCUUGGCUGAUGAGAACUGAGCAUGAUCGGCCAUGGAGUGAGUUCAACUUGCAAGUAUCUCCAGACUCCCUAAGCAUAUACAAGGUGGCGACCAAGUGUAAUCUAGGAAAUGGUGAGGUGGCACUGUUCUGGACGGAUUGGUGGCUAGAGGAGGGACGAAUCCAAGAUCGAUCUCAUGCCAAGGCUAUUCGCGGUUGUUAAGAGAAGGGCACGAAAACAAACGGUGAGGCAAGACGUAGUUGACGGAUGGUGGCAGGAUGUGUCGCCAAACAUGGGCCCUCAGGAGCUGAGCGAAUUUUUGCAGCUCGUGGACAGAACUUGACACAUUCGGCUGCUGAACAUUGAAGAUAAACUGGUUUGGGCUUCGGAGAAUAAUGGCCGCUACUCGGCGAGAUCGGCUUACCGAGUGUUCUUUGCUGGGAGAGUAGAGGCUAAUGGAGCAUCACAAAUUUGGUGGUCAAGGGCGCCGGCGACCUGCAAGUUCUUCACAUGGUUGGCAGCAAGGGAGAGGUGCUGGACGGCCGAUAGGCUUGCGCACCGACACCUACCACACCCGACAGCCUGCCCCUUCUGUGAUCAAUCCCCUGAGACGAUCAACCACAUCCUUUUUGGAUGUGUGUUCGCUAGACAAGUGUGGUUCUCCAUCCUUGACCACUGGGAUAAGCUAGCUUGGCUACCUACUGCAGACACCAACUUGGUAGAAUGGUGGACCUCUGUAAAUCCACAAAAGCUGCAAGUGCAGAGGGGAAUUUCGCAAGCUAGGAGGAAUAGAAAAUCCUAACUAAGAAACAAUCAAUCAGUCCACUAAGUCUGUUAAGUAAGAGUUAUACGAAAUACUCUGAUUCAAUGUACGAGUGACUCAAUCCCAAAAGGAAAAUCCGGCCAGCCGAUUUUCAACAACAAAGGAGUUCACAGUGGAAAGAUAAAGUCUGAUGACAGACACUUGUAAUUCUCUCACUGGGCCAGCCACUAGAAUCAGUCACCAAAGCUUAGGAAGGAGACAUGGACUGUAAUCGCGCUAGUUGCAUGGCUGCUAUGGAAGCACAUAAAUGAUAUGAUGUUCAACGGAAGGAUCCCUUCCACAAGUGAGCUUCUUAGGAGGAUCGGCUUAGAAGGGCAAGACUGGAGGGCCGCUGGGCUGUUGCGUGAAGAGAGGUCACUUCCGGAUAGUCUAGAUGGGUGGGCUAGUAGUGAGUAAUCCGCAUGUCCAGGAUUGGCUAUGAUAGCCGUGGAUAAGUUGUAAAAUUAUAUGCCUUUCUAGGCUCUCUUGAUCUUUGAACCUGAUACGUCAACCUUUGACGUAUCCUUGAAAAAAAUGUUGUCAUCUCUCAGUUUUACGCUGAUGCGCCUGCUCCAUCAGAGAAAUCAUGCUAUAGGUCCCGGCAAGAGAGGGCCGCAUCCUCCCUUCCCAAAGCUCCAAACCGUCCCGGAGACCAUGUCGAUUGAUAUCUGCACUCAAGAAUGUAUCUACUUUUUUUUGUUGAGAUUGAGCUUCACGCCUUUAAAAUGAGCUCUUCACGGUGAAGCUCAAAUGGACCGUUCUCGGGUACUCUGUGGUUCAUUUCGUAUUAUGUGCAUACUCUGCAGUGAGCAGCUCACCAGCCAAACAGAAAAUUCAGCAUGCGCCGAUCACUAAAAUGUUUACAGGCAAACCAGGAAAUACAUCGUCAGAGAAUAGUCACAUCCUCCCUCUGUCCAUAUUUAUAUGGCGCCGUCGUUUUUCUACUUAUAUAGGUUUCAUGGUGAUUGGAAAAAUCAAAAGCCGUCAAUCGAAAGGAAUCGAACGUUGAAAAAAUAGGAGGUACCAAAAUAGCAGUACCGAAAAGCACCAAAUAGAUAAGGCCAAUAUUAAAAAACAUGGGACCAGUAGCCGUAUUUUAUUUUAUUUUAGUUUAUUUAUUCAUAAGGGUAGAUAUGUAAUUUCAUAAUUGUGGACAUGAUCACAUCUUCAUGUUAUCCAUCAAACCUCCUUAACACGAAGAAGCACAUUUCGGAAGUUGUCCUAUGGACCACCCCUGCUCUUCAAUGAUGCAUCAAACAUCUUGUUAUCCAUGGGGUGCUUUAACAUGAAGCAACACAUUUUUAAAGGGGGCCACCUCUGCUCUUCAAUACUGCAUUGGCUAUUGUACAAAUGUACCACCAAGAAAAUAAGUGAUGUCCAUGGGGUUCCACAUGGCAAAACUAGCCCUCAAACUAAAGAAGCACACAAUAAAGGAAAAUCACGACAUGAAAACCUUACCAUUCAAUGACCCCAUGAGGAUUUAAGUUUACAUCGCCCAUGGACUUCAAAAGGCACACGUGACCCUCUUUCAUCACAAUACUGAUCACGCACAAACACAAGAACUAGACGACACUCCCUCUCCUGCAACCAUCAUCUAUCAAUGGAAAGCUCUCGGUCUCCCGGGAGUUCAAGACUUAGACCAGUUCCCAACCAAUUUGAUUUGAUAUGUUGCUAUUGUGACGCUGAUUACCUAAGCAUUCUAGUUGGUCUCAAUAUUUGAGGAUCUAUUUGAUCGCUUGUUCACCUAAUUUCCAGGUUUCCUUAAUCAUUGGUGUCUUGUUUGAUGGUGGUCUUGAAUCUUGAACCAUUUGUUUGAGUUUUGUUUUGUUGGUGGCAAGGCUAUCUCAUAUCAGCAAGUUCAACCGAGAUGCAAGAUUGCUCGAGAGUUAUUGGAAUCAAUACUCGAGUAGAACUAGGUGUUGGAGGCAUCCAGAAAGAUUUACGAGCGGAAUAUCAGUGAUCAUCUUGCACGAUCCUAAAAACAAGUAGUUUGUAACCAACCGUUGUAAGAACUAUUAAGUUUCAUGCACAACCAAUAGAGCCAAAGUCUGAGCUAAUGAAAAAGAUUGGGGAAUCCAUAUGUACUUCAACAAGAGCCAAGUCAAGGGUCGGAGGAUCUUAGUCUAAAAUAGGUUUAUAAUAAUGUUAAUAGCAUUACUAUAUCCAAAUUAACAUUGCAAAAAGGUUUAUGAUAUUUCAGUUAGUGUAACUAACACCUAUUUCAUUAUGCAAUAGCAUAAUUUGAAAAUUCCUUAACUAUUAUGACAAUGCGAAAAAUGUCUUCAAAUAAUUUUGAUCAAGUCAUUAAAAAACUUAAGGUUACUAACACCACAGUGGAUUUUGCAUGUGUUUCCAACAAUACCAGAAAACGCACCCAUGCUCAGGAGCAUCGAGGAAAGAGAAAACUGAGCGGGGUGGAAUGAAAAUAAAAAUGAGGUAGCGUGGCACUAGCAUGCAUGGAGAUCACGAUUGUGGAAGUAUUUGCCGGUAGACAUAUCACUGAAAGCUACAUGUUCCUUCAGACAACUAUAAACAACUUUCUAGUUGUGAUCUUGUGCUAGUUUUUACCUCAUUUUUUUGAAAUUGCACAAUUUACCUAUUAGUUGACAAUGCUAUGAUUUCCCCCUAUUUAUAUCAUUGUUCCCCAACUAACAAGCCCGGGCUCUAUGUCAAGAUUGACGAACUGGGGGAGUAUCCAGCAUGGCACGAGCGAAAUACAGGACAACUAGCACUAGUGGAAAAAGUGCUAGCCACAACUUUCGUUAGUGGCGCAGCAUUUUCCAUCCGCGCCAGCACUAUUUUUUUUCAAAUAGUGCUGGUGUAGGCCAAAUCCGUAUGCCAGCUUUACAAGUAUAGUGCCGGCGUUCAUUGUUUUGUAAACGCCACAAAUCUAUUGGCCCAUAUACACUCACCGUUUGGAAAUCACUGGUGACGUUGGUUUUCUUUACAUGCCAUAGUUAUUUUGUUAGUGCUGGCGUUAUUUUUCUUUGCACGCCAUAGUAUAUAAUUAUAUUAUGCUUAUUUUGCCAUCAUUUUAUUUGGCCUGUGAUUAGCUAUGGCGUUGCCAUUUUUUCCAAUGCCAGCAAUGACCUAGUAAAAUACCCAAGUCCACCGCUCACUCUCAUUUCACACCCCACCCGGCCCGGUCGUAGCUAGCUGGACACAAACUCUCAUUGGACCAAAGUCGACGCCGCCGCCCCCCUUGCCGCUGCCAUGGUUAGAUCCACUCCUCCAUUGACGGAUCUGAGCAAGUUUAGUAGAAAUUAUGUAUAGGUUGACUGGUAUAUGUAAAUCAAAUUGUUUUUUCAAAUUGUUAAAAUUGUAGAUCAGGGUUCCAUUGUUUACUCCCAUAAAAGAACAUAAUUUUCUUUGUUUACUUGACAAGUUGACAUGCCUCUGUAUAGAUCAGUUAGGUUGUAGAAUUUGUGUAAGUGUAUUAGAUCACUUGCCAUACAUUGAUUGGAAUUAUUAUCAACUUGCUUGUUAUUAUUGUUAUGUUUGGUUCUUGUCAGCACUAAGAAAAAUUCUUGUUUGACAUUGUGAUGCCAUCUAUAUAUAUUUUUGUAGUGAUUGACAGAAGUUAUUCAGAAGUUAUUUUUAUAUAUGAUAGUAUGUGUAUGUAUAGAAGUCAGUUUGCUAUAUCUUAUUUAUCAAAAUAGAUUCAUAAUUUUAUCUAUUCUACUUAAUUAACAAAAUCAUAUCUUUCCAACACAUGAACUAUUUUACAUUGCAUAUUAUCUUGAUCGUAUAUAUACGCGAUGUGUUUGUAGAUCAUGGCCAAUUUUGGAGGCAAUAACGUUAAUGAGUCGGUGUGCGAUGUGGACAUGGCCAACAAUGAAUCCUUAAACACUUUUGAGUAUGUCAUCAAGAGCGUGCAAGGGCCAAAUGACGAUCUAAAGGGGCAGAUUAAAGAGCUACGCAAGGACGUUGUUCGGCUCGUUCAGGAGACUAAUAAGCUUAGAGACGAGAGGGAUAAGCUCGUCGAGGAUCGGGAUAAACUGAAGGAGGAUAGGAGACGCCUCAGGGGUGAGAGGAUUGACCUGAAGAUGGACCUAGAUCAUUUCAGAAGAGAAGGAGAGGCGGAUAGAAAGAAGUUAAUGCAGCUGGGCAUAAUCGUUGCUGAAGAUUAGUUUUUUUAAGUAGCUAGCUAGCUCAUCUUAUUAGUUCAUGAUGAUCCAUUAACUAGAGUACUUGAGUGAACUUAUGUGAAGUUUAAUAUCAACUUGUUGAGUUCAUGAGCCUCUUUAUGUAAUGAUUAUCUAUUAAAUAAGUACCUAGUGUUGAUGAGUAUAUUGUGUUCAGUAGUAUCUAUUAAGUAAGUAGCUAGCUAGUGUUGAUGAGUAAUUUUUUUAUUACAAAAAAACUAUUUGCUGGCGUUGGACGAGCAGGCACGCCAGAGUUAUGAUGGACUUAGUGCUAAUGCUGGAUAGGUGUUACGUCAGCACGAUGUAUGAUACUGCUGACGUGUCCUCCAACGCCGCCACUACAUUUUAGCAAUGGCGUCAUAUUAGUGGCGUCAUAUGUCUACGCUAGCAAGGCCGUUUUUGACACGCCAUAGUUAGACUUUUUUCACUAGUGUAGCCGGGCCUAUUUGGGACAAUUGCCAAUUUAAUAGAGUGAGAUGAAAUUCGAGGGAAUUCAACAUAUUUUUUGUAUGCUCGUGACAAACACACGUCUGAGUUGUCUGCCAAUCAUCAGGUGACACAAAAUCCUAACAGGUAGGUAUAGUUUCUCAGUUUGAGAAAUAUAUAAUAAAGAGAUAUAAAAGCUGCCGUGUGUCAAAGAUAUAAAAGCUGUCAUAGAAUCAUGACCGGGGUAAGAAGUGAAUUAUACUCGCGGAUUAAUGCCCUCAUAUAUGUUUCUCCCUCCCGAUCAAUUGAUUCAAAAUCAUAUGAAGUCUCCAUCCACCUCCAAGGCAGGAUCACGGCAGCCAUCUCUGGAUUUAUGUAUGCUGAUACGCCUGCCCAUUAGAUAAAUUUCCAAGCCGUGGGUAUAAAAAUGGGCGACACUGACGACAACAACCAUUUUGUAGUGUAGCAACGUGUUACAGAUCAGGGACCGAAUGGCUGCAUCCUCCCUUCCAAAGCACCUCACAAAGGUGAAAUAUUUUUCCGCUUACCGUUGCUCGUUGUAAGUAGGUACUCGAGCUGGAAGGUUCGUCCGAGAACCAUGUUGGCAGGCACUCACAAACACACACAGACAUAUUAGUGGUAACACUGAGAAGGUCACUUGUUCAGUUCAGAGUUUAAGCAACUUGCACCGGCAGAUUAAUCAAUUAAAUCAAAUGCUUAAUGCGUCCCUAUGUUCCUCCCACCUUCAAUUGAAUCAAGAAUCACAUGAAUCGCCAGGCACCAAAUACUGAGCAAAUUCCAACCACCAACACACUAGUUAUCACUCGUAAACCGUAACAGUGUUCGUACUGAAACAUAGAUUCAUAGACUAUGAUUCGUGUUGUACUUAAAAUGCCAUGACUGUGCAUGGAUUGAUGUAGAGCCGGGGAGGCCACUUGUCAUCAUGGAUUCGUAGUGUGGAGGGUUAUAGAUCUAAUUUAGAGCAACUCUAGCAGAGUCAUCGUAUUGACAGCCUCCAUAUCCUAUAUUCGCAGCCUCCAUCGCCACACGGAAUUACAGGUAACUACCAUAUGGACAGCGCUUCAAAAGGUAUCCUCGAGACGCCAUAUAUGGCGACUGUGAGGAGGGUGCUCCAUAUAUACUAUGACAAUCCCUUACAAGAUGAAGACUCUGCUAGAGUGCUUUUUUUGGUCAAAAUCGUUAAUGGCGGUUUUUAUGGCGAUUGGACAAAUAUGACGACUCUGCUAGAGUAUCUCUUACCUUUCGUUUCAGUUGGCCAUAGUUUUUGAGUUCAAAGAUGAAAAGUCAGAAUACAACAAAUGUUUGUUUGGAAUUGCUACACAAUGUUACGAGAGACUUAAUUUACCGAUAUAUGUCAGUAGUGACAUUAUCUCUUUCGUUCCCCCACGUCUAUCUUGGCUCCUCCCCUAAUGGGAGAAGUAUGGUGCAUCUAGCCGCACCUAUUUGGGAUAACUUGAUAAUUUGUUGAAAUUCGAGGGGAUUUGACAUGCUUCUAUAUACUGGUAAUUUGAGGGGAUUUGAAAUAUGUACAAGUAGGAUGUUCUCAGUAAAAAACAUUACAAUUUUUCAAGUGUCACCACUAUGGGGGGAAAUGUGGCAAGAUCAUUUAUUUUAGCCCGGCAAGAUAUUAUGAAUGAUGUAAAAACUGUCACAAAGUCACGGCUGAAGAAAAAGGUAAAAUAUACUACAAAACUAGAUGAAUCCCCGCGCGUUGCUGCGUGAUAUGUUGUGCUAAAAUUUCUAAUGUGGAGAGAUACGCUGUGUAAAGAAAAAUAGUGACUUGCAUGUGCGUCAAAGCAUUUCUAUUUUUGUGGGGAAAGCAUAUCUUUCAAAUGAGUGUUAAUGCAAAGGAUUGAAAUGAUGAGUUAAUACAAAAAAAAUACAAAAC
Molecule: long non-coding RNA, 40465 nt
Filed under: Triticum aestivum (bread wheat)
Lineage: Eukaryota; Viridiplantae; Streptophyta; Magnoliopsida; Poales; Poaceae
Description: long non-coding RNA (TAES_LNC014225)
Source: RNAcentral